UUCGUCAUUUCAGGCUGUGACACAUUUGCUUUGGAUUUCUGAGAUCGCACUCGGAGUUCCACCUUGUUGGUUUCACUGUCAGGACGUCAGUCAGGAUGGUUUCCGUUUCAGUGUUUUCUGGAACGCUGGCAUCUCGCAGCGCAUGCCGACGUUUGUGCAGGAGGUGCUGUUGAAGGUUCGUGGGAGCUUCCACCGCUUGUUUUUUUAAGAUUUUAUUUUUCCUUUUUCUCUUCAAAGCCCCCCCCGGUACAUAGUUGUAUAUUUUAGUUGUGGGUCCUUCCAGUUGUGGCAUGUGGGACGCCACCUCAGCAUUGCCUGAUGAGCAGUGCCAUGUCCGCGCCCAGGAUCCAAACCAGUGAAAUCCUGGGCCGCCAAAGCAGAGCGCACGAACUUAACCACUCGGCCACGGGGCCCGCCCUCACCUCCCUGUUGUUAAAUUUCCGGUAUGGAUUUUUAACAUUGGUCCCCACAGUCUUUGUUUCUGAGGGAAGCAAGCUGCUUUAUUUAAACUGCCACAGAAUCUCAUUCUAGUUUAACGUGUGCUCCAAGGAAGUAACCGUCCAGAUGGCCAGAGAACGGUGACCGAGGCGGGUGCACACGUACCGUCGCCAUGUUGUUCCAGAGGGCGCCCGGCAGAGCGGAGGGCUGGGUGCCGAGGCGCCUUCUGUCCUCCUGAGAAGGCAUGAUGGCGGGCUGCCUUCCUCGGAGCAGGUGAUGGGCUUGGGACAUGCUAGGCCCACCUGGAAACUGCGGCUGGCCUCAUUAAGCUUGAGUGAGGGUUCAGAUGCGAGUGUCUUCCAGGUCUUUGUUGUAGUUUAUGAACCAGUCAGUUCUAACCGAACUCAGCUUGAAUGCUGUUGAGAUAGUAGCACAAAUGUAUGUUUUCUUCUAGUAGAUUUUGUAAAUGUGGGUAUAUACAAUAAUUCAUAAGGCACCUGAAAUCUUUUAUGGGACAAAAUUGGUAUAAAUAGUUGUUUUGUCGUUGAAAGUUCUUUGUCCUAUAAUUGUGAAUUUUGAAGCUGUUCCGUAGAAGACUGCUCUUCGUUCCCAGGUCACUGUAGAUCCGUCUGGUGUACCGCCACCUCAGAGAGAUGGUUAACUAAGGUGGGUCCCAAAGCUUGCGGUCAUCGUUAGAUGAUUCCAGCUUGCCACUAGGUGAAGUUAUAAGACGGUUAUGACGUGGGGAGUUGGGGGUGCUGGGGCGGGCUUCACAAGGCCUGAUAGAACUAGCCUGGGCACGUGUUUCGGAGGCUGGUCUCUGUUCUCUAUUUUAAAACUGUCUCUGUGCCUCAGUUUCUUUCCUUGCAUGAUUUUUUUUUAAACAUCUGCAAACUCCUAAUUUGUUUAUCCAGAAUAAUACCUGUUUAAAGAAAAUUCCUGUUUCUUUACAGCACUUAGGAAAGAGUAACUUGUUUUUGCAAAAAUGUCCCUGAGAAUUACUCUCAAUAAGUGAUGGCCAUAUUGCAUAUAAAACUAGAAGAUGAUUUGGAAGGCCAGCCAGCUUGUGUUUCUCCUGAAUAUUCCUGUGUCACAGGCUUUCCUCUGCUCCCCUGGGUCAGCGAGGGGCCUGAUCCCAGCAGUGACAUCUGGGCUUUGGAUGGUUACCGUGGAGCUGGUGAUGGCAUUUGUUGCUAACCAGUGUCCUGCCCGCUGAGCCACGCUCCAUGGAGGAGCUCGUGACUGCCGUUUAGGCGUUUUAAUUCUCCAUAAAUCAGAGAGCAGUGUGGUGUUGCUUUGAGAAAGACAGCACAGAAAGUGUGGUACAAACUGCAGCUUUUCUCAGUUUACUGUCAUCGUUCUCCCAGCUGACCGUUAGCUGACAUCUCGGAACCCGCCAGGCUCUUCCGCUUAGCAUCCUGCGGGGGCGGCUUCCUGUGGGCAGCGGUGCAGACGCAUCGGAUCAGCUGGGCUGUGCCCAGGACCUCGCCGGCUCAGCGUUACACCUGCUGCCUCUCAGCUUGGACGUGCGCACUAUCCUGUAGUGUCAUCAUGAGUGGCAAGAUGGUUACGUACUAGUUCACUGGGAAACGCAGACUAGGGUAUCCUUUGAGAAAGUUCUGGGUUUGAGUGGCUUUGAGAGGAAAAUCUCCAGCAGGGGAUGAAAGCACCUAAUUGAAGAACGGAGUCCGUGGUCCAUGCAGCGCCUGGGGCACCUUGAGGCAUCAGGAGAAGCGCUCUGCGCAGACUCCUCGCAGGUGCCCCCGUGUCCCUCUGUGGCUCUCUGCAUUGCACUGUCCUCAGCCUCAGAGUGCCUGCAGGAUGUCCAUGAAGCUGAGCCCUGACCCAGGUGGAGUCAGGAGGCACCCCCAGCUGCACUGGCCGCCUCCACCAGGGGCUCUCUUACUGCACAGCAUGUCCAUAACUCUGUGAUUGGUGUCACAGGCCAGCUGAGAGCUGGUGCUGUCACCUGUUAACAGCCUCUGUGAAGUCUGGGGAGCAGGCAGGCCUGGUGGCCAAUGGCAAGUGUGGUCCCCGGUGAAAUGAUGGUGUCCUGUCAGCCGAAUGCUGAGCCCACACUCCAACUUGAGAACUGCCCCCGAGGCCCCUGCUGCCCAGCUCCCCUCAGGCUGCUUCCUGAAAGGGGAGAGUGUGCAGCGGAAGAACGCUGUUCCUGUCGUGCAUGCUUAGGAGGCCCACAAAGAGAAGGGCAUCGCAGACAGAAGACCAAAUCGGAAUCCCAGGAGGCGGCAGGGUCUGCUUCCGCUCCUCCCUUAUCACUGCACAUUGGUGACCGGGGCUUGCAGGGGACAGUGCAGUGACCAGCCCAGCAGCCGGUGGCCGAGCAGGCACCAGGUGACGUGAUGACUCGUUGCUGACAUGCCGUUUUCUCUUGCACAGGUUCGCCCCAGUCUUUUCAUACCUUUCUGUCCCUUUCCUGUCAACAGUUAACACGCUUUGUGAAAAGGAGACUGAAAAUGGUCUCUGAUGAGCCCAAAUAAGCCCUUCUGGAAAAUGCAGUUGCUACAGGUGGCUUUUUGUAUGCGUUUUCCUCAGUGUCUGACCUUGUGCUUGUAGCUCACCAUUACAUUACAUCAUCUGGGGUAGAAGGGAAUUAAAGAGCCAAGAAAUAGGAAUCUCUUGCACCUUAAUUUUGUUAAUCGUCAG
Long non-coding RNA from Equus caballus (horse), 3105 nucleotides. The record is from Ensembl. Lineage: Eukaryota; Metazoa; Chordata; Mammalia; Perissodactyla; Equidae.